Molecule: transfer RNA, 75 nt
Filed under: Micromonosporaceae bacterium
Lineage: Bacteria; Bacillati; Actinomycetota; Actinomycetes; Micromonosporales; Micromonosporaceae
Also listed under: 5 other names
Description: tRNA-Asn
Rfam family: tRNA
About the family: Transfer RNA (tRNA) molecules are approximately 80 nucleotides in length. Their secondary structure includes four short double-helical elements and three loops (D, anti-codon, and T loops).
Source: RNAcentral
UCCGACAUAGCUCAGCGGUAGAGCAGCUGACUGUUAAUCAGCGGGUCCCUGGUUCGAAUCCAGGUGUCGGAGCCA